RNAcentral lists this ribosomal RNA (301 nucleotides) under uncultured bacterium. RNAcentral's name for it is "partial 16S ribosomal RNA". It matches the Rfam family "Bacterial small subunit ribosomal RNA", at positions 509 to 807 of the family's 1533-position model. The record is from RNAcentral.
CAGCAACCGCGGGAAUACGAAGGGUGCAAGCGUUACUCGGAAUUACUGGGCGUAAAGCGUGCGUAGGUGGUGGUUUAAGUCCGUUGUGAAAGCCCUGGGCUCAACCUGGGAAUUGCAGUGGAUACUGGGUCACUAGAGUGUGGUAGAGGAUAGUGGAAUUUCCGGUGUAGCAGUGAAAUGCGUAGAGAUCUGGAGGAAUACCGAUGGCGAAGGCAGCCAUCUGGCCUAAUACUGACGCUGAGGUACGAAAGCAUGGGGAGCAAACAGGAUUAGAUACCCCUGUAGUCCCUGUCUCUUAUAC